RNAcentral lists this ribosomal RNA (253 nucleotides) under uncultured bacterium. Its description in RNAcentral is "partial 16S ribosomal RNA". It matches the Rfam family "Bacterial small subunit ribosomal RNA", at positions 524 to 776 of the family's 1533-position model. The record is from RNAcentral.
UACGUAGGGGGCAAGCGUUGUCCGGAUUUAUUGGGCGUAAAGAGCGUGUAGGCGGUCUGGUAGGUCCGUUGUGAAAACUCGAGGCUCAACCUCGAGACGCCGAUGGAAACCCUCAGACUAGAGUCCGGAAGAGGAGAGUGGAAUUCCCAGUGUAGUGGUGAAAUACGUAGAGAUUGGGGAGAACACCAGUGGCGAAGGCGGCUAUCUGGACGGUUUCUGACGCUAAGACGCGAAAGCGUGGGGAGCAAACAGG